UAUUCAUUGGAUUUCAAAGUGAAAAAUCAAACACUAUAUUAAAUUAUAUCAUUAAUCUCAAACUCUGAUCCAUCGAAAACUGAGCCUAGGGGAAAGAUUGAAUUGAACUGAUUCGAUAUUUGAUCAAAGUUCUCAAUAUUGUAAAGCAAUUCUGUCUCUUUUUCAAGGAACCCACAAGCUACGAUUUCUUUAACUUAUGUCAAACUCCGAUAUUAUUUGAUAACAAAUGGACACAACAUAUGUAGACACACCAAGUAAAUGGUGGAACAUAUAUUAAGCAACAAAAAUGCAACGUGGGCUAAUUUUGACUCGGCAAAAAGGCGAUGGUCAUCGUCUGUUAGCCCCUUAUUUUUCUUUAGUUGGAAAUGAGUGAGAUAUUCCGGGGCUACAUGCAGCUCCCACUGUCAUAAAGCAUCUUUAGAAUUUUUAUAAUUAUAAUUAUACCCUGUAUUGUUCAAUCUUGUUCUGCAAUUCUAACUUCUUAACCCCUACAAUCUUGUCAACUUGUUUCCCUUUCUUCAUGAGUACAAAUGCUGGCAAUGUGUUCGCCUCGAAUUGCAUAGCCACCAUCUGUAUUCAUUCACACAAAUUUCAUCAUUUUCAUAAUUUGAGAUCGAGAGGAAGGGAGAAGAGAAGAAACAGAAAUCUUGAAAUAGCUGCAAAAGAGGAAAGAAAGAGUAUUUACCACCAACUUGUCCACAUUAAUCUUGAUAAAAUCAACGUCUGUGUAUUUAGCAGCAAACUCUUUAAUGGCUGGAUCGAUAAAUCGGCAAGGUCCGCACCAUGUUGCUGUGAAUUGAAUCACCAGCAGUUUGUUGUUUCCUUUGGAGGCAUCAAAAUAGGCUUUCCAUUGAUCUGUAGAAUGGAUUUCCACAACUGCAGCUGAUGUCUUUGUGUCUGAAAAUUCAAUGUAGUGAUUAAAACUAAACCGGCUCGACAUCGUUCUUCCUCUUCGAAGAACUGGGAAACCGAACUCCAUAGAUGAUGUGUAUAUAUAUGCAGUUUUAAGCUUGUUUCUGAAGUUCAAGAGAAAAUGCAGUUGCU
This 1044-nucleotide unclassified non-coding RNA is filed under the name Hevea brasiliensis (rubber tree). The record is from RNAcentral. Lineage: Eukaryota; Viridiplantae; Streptophyta; Magnoliopsida; Malpighiales; Euphorbiaceae.